CUAAAAGAAAAAUUAGUAUGGAUAGAAAAAACCUUAGAAAAUUUAGAUAAAAGUACAUGUGAUAGUUUAUAUAAUUUAAAAAACUCACUACGAGAAGAACAACAUAAAAUAAUAAAUAACAUUGAAAAUCUAGAAUUAGAUAUAUAUUAUAGCACAGAUAGAAUAAAUUAUUAUACAAGAAUUUGUAACUCUGUAAUUACUACAGGAUAAAAUAAUUAAUGAAUAUAUCUUACGAAAAAAGUAAAUUAUUAAAAGAUAACAUCCACGCACUAAAUAAAAAUAGAUUCCCUACAAAUGAUAUAUGUACAAAAUCUAUUAUACC
RNAcentral lists this long non-coding RNA (322 nucleotides) under Capsicum annuum. Its description in RNAcentral is "long non-coding RNA (CANN_LNC010092)". The record is from RNAcentral. Lineage: Eukaryota; Viridiplantae; Streptophyta; Magnoliopsida; Solanales; Solanaceae.